This is a non-coding RNA of Salmo salar (Atlantic salmon), 55 nucleotides long. Lineage: Eukaryota; Metazoa; Chordata; Actinopteri; Salmoniformes; Salmonidae. The record is from Rfam.
UGUGUUCACUACUGUAAGUCGCUCUGGAUAAGAGCGUCUGCUAAAAUGACUAAAA